UACAGAGGUGGCGAGCGUUGUUCGGAUUUACUGGGCGUAAAGCGUGCGUAGGCGGUGCCGUGUGUCGGAUGUGAAAUCUCCGGGCUCAACCCGGAAAGUGCGUCCGAAACUGCGGCGCUGGAGCGGAGGAGAGGGGAGCGGAAUUCAAGGUGUAGCGGUAAAAUGCGUUGAUAUCUUGAAGAACACCGGUGGCGAAGGCGGCUCCCUGGAAUCCCGCUGACGCUGAGGCACGAAAGUCGGGGGAGCAAAC
This 250-nucleotide ribosomal RNA is filed under the name uncultured prokaryote. RNAcentral's name for it is "partial 16S ribosomal RNA". It matches the Rfam family "Bacterial small subunit ribosomal RNA", at positions 524 to 773 of the family's 1533-position model. The record is from RNAcentral.